Long non-coding RNA from Fundulus heteroclitus (mummichog), 698 nucleotides. RefSeq lists it as uncharacterized. The record is from RefSeq and is a predicted model, not a curated record. Lineage: Eukaryota; Metazoa; Chordata; Actinopteri; Cyprinodontiformes; Fundulidae. The transcript is spliced from 4 exons.
GUUGUCACUCCUUUGUUCUAUGUGUGUGCAGGGUUUGCUGUUAAAAGAUCGCUAGUGCUCGAAUUCACCCUUUUAACCAUUGUCUUAAUAUCAGCUUAAGAGCUGAUCAUCACCAGACAAUACUUAACAGACAGAAGGUUAUUUGAUAAAGACUAAAUAACUUUAAACGGUGUAUAAUUGCACAACAAAACUGAGAAGAAACCUGAAAAACACAAAAGUUACAACCUGACCUCAGUUUUACAGCUCAGUUCACUGCUGAUAAAAAGAGAAGAACUGAAAGGAAAGGUGUUUAAACUCACCUUGACAGGGGGCAGAGCCUCAGGUGAGUCAGUUACAGUCAGGUAUCAGAUCAGGGGAAACAGGUUCUGACUCCAUUUAGCAGCAGAACAGAACAGAGAGAAGACUCUGGAUCAGGGCUGACUGAAGUCCAGGAGAUGGAGAACAGAGCAGAACCUCCAGGAUCCAGCUGUCCAUCUAUGAGGAGUGACUGGUCCAAAUCUAACCCUCCAGACUUCAGUGAAGAACCUGGACCCUCAGAAGGUCAGAACCACAGACAGAGAGCAGAACCUCCAGGAUCCAGCUGUCCGUCUAUCAGGAGUGACUGGUCAAAAUCUAACCCUCCAGACUUUAGUGAAGAACCUGGACCCACAGACCCAGAACCAGGACCUGGACUGCUGGCAGCCAAUCAGAGCAGCUGU